GUGCCAGCCGCCGCGGUAAUACGGAGGGGGCAAGCGUUAUUCGGAAUCAUUGGGCGUAAAGGGCGCGUAGGCGGCUUGGCAAGUCAAAGGUGAAAUCCCUCGGCCUAACCGAGGAACUGCCUUUGAAACUGCUUGGCUUGAGGCCGGGAGAGGGUAGCGGAAUUCCCAGUGUAGCGGUGAAAUGCGUAGAUAUUGGGAGGAACACCAGUGGCGAAGGCGGCUACCUGGACCGGUUCUGACGCUGAGGCGCGAAAGCGUGGGGAGCAAACAGGAUUAGAUACCCGCGUAGUCC
This 292-nucleotide ribosomal RNA is filed under the name uncultured bacterium. RNAcentral's name for it is "partial 16S ribosomal RNA". It matches the Rfam family "Bacterial small subunit ribosomal RNA", at positions 505 to 796 of the family's 1533-position model. The record is from RNAcentral.